Molecule: non-coding RNA, 484 nt
Organism: Odocoileus virginianus texanus
Lineage: Eukaryota; Metazoa; Chordata; Mammalia; Artiodactyla; Cervidae
Source: RefSeq, a predicted model, not a curated record
CUGCUCGAGUCGGCAGCGGCAAGAACCUUUGGCCGCCUCUGCAAGGUCCCGGCCAUGUUCAGCUCCAGCGCCAAGAUCGUCAAGCCCAACGGCGAGAAGCCGGACGAGUUCGAGUCGGGCAUCUCCCAGGCCCUGCUGGAGCUGGAUAUGAACUCGGACCUCAAGGCGCAGCUUUGCCCCAAAGCAGAGAACUCAGUAAGUAGAAGCUUCAUUGCAUAACCCGCAUAUUUUUUAAAAAAAUCUUUUCUUAGUCUUUCAGCAAGAUUCAUCUCCAUCUACUCAAAAAAAAUUCAAAAAGAGCACGUCGUCUUCAUUGCCCAGAGGAGAAUUCUGCCUAAGCCAACUCGAAAAAGCCGUACGAAAAAUAAGCAGAAACGUCCCAGGAGCCGCACUCUUGACCGCCGUGCACGACGCCAUCCUGGAGGACUUGGUUUUCCCCAGUGAGAUCGUGGGCAAGAGGAUUCGCGUGAAACAGGUGCUUUAG